Molecule: ribosomal RNA, 252 nt
Filed under: uncultured Bacteroidales bacterium
Lineage: Bacteria; Pseudomonadati; Bacteroidota; Bacteroidia; Bacteroidales
Description: partial 16S ribosomal RNA
Rfam family: Bacterial small subunit ribosomal RNA
Source: RNAcentral
UACGGAGGAUGCGAGCGUUAUCCGGAUUUAUUGGGUUUAAAGGGUGCGUAGGCGGUCCGGAAAGUCAGCGGUAAAAGCCCGGGGCUCAACCCCGGCGAGCCGUUGAAACUGGCGGGCUGGAGUUGGAGAGAAGUAUGCGGAAUGCGCGGUGUAGCGGUGAAAUGCUUAGAUAUCACGCAGAACCCCGAUUGCGAAGGCAGCAUACCGGCGCUCAACUGACGCUGAGGCACGAAAGUGCGGGGAUCGAACAGG